RNAcentral lists this ribosomal RNA (292 nucleotides) under uncultured fungus. RNAcentral's name for it is "partial small subunit ribosomal RNA". It matches the Rfam family "Eukaryotic small subunit ribosomal RNA", at positions 30 to 349 of the family's 1831-position model. The record is from RNAcentral. Lineage: Eukaryota; Fungi.
GCUUGUCUCAAAGAUUAAGCCAUGCAUGUCUAAGUGUAAAUAAGUCUAUACUGUGAAACUGCGAAUGGCUCAUUAUAUCAGUUAUAAUAUACUAGAUAGUUUCUCUACUUGGAUAACCGUAGUAAUUCUAGAGCUAAUACAUGACUAAAAGGGCUAGCCCUGCAUUUAUUAGAUACAACCAACCCUUCGGGUUUUGGCGAAUCAUAAUAACUGAGCGGACCGUAUUCGUACGGCGUUUCUUAUUAAUUUCUGCCCUAUCAGCUUUCGAUGGUAGGGUAUUGGCCUACCAUGG